This 343-nucleotide unclassified non-coding RNA is filed under the name soil metagenome. Its description in RNAcentral is "partial contains 5.8S ribosomal RNA, internal transcribed spacer 2, and large subunit ribosomal RNA". The stretch from base 1 to 120 matches the Rfam family "5.8S ribosomal RNA", at positions 35 to 154 of the family's 154-position model. The record is from RNAcentral.
GAUGAAGAACGUAGCGAAAUGCGAUAAGUAAUGUGAAUUGCAGAAUUCAGUGAAUCAUCGAAUCUUUGAACGCACAUUGCGCCCGCCAGCAUUCUGGCGGGCAUGCCUGUUCGAGCGUCAUUUCAACCCUCGAGCCCCCACGGGGGCCUCGGUGUUGGGGGACGGCACACCAGCCGCCCCCGAAAUGCAGUGGCGACCCCGCCGCAGCCUCCCCUGCGUAGUAGCACACACCUCGCACCGGAGCGCGGAGGCGGUCACGCCGUAAAACGCCCAACUUUCUUAGAGUUGACCUCGGAUCAGGUAGGAAUACCCGCUGAACUUAAGCAUAUCAAUAAGCGGAGGA